This is a long non-coding RNA of Carassius gibelio (silver crucian carp), 4926 nucleotides long. RefSeq lists it as uncharacterized. Lineage: Eukaryota; Metazoa; Chordata; Actinopteri; Cypriniformes; Cyprinidae. The record is from RefSeq and is a predicted model, not a curated record. The transcript has 2 exons.
GUAAUUUUAUUGUUGGAUUGCAAAAUUGUAGUCAUGCAGCAUCAUAAAAAAAGAAAAAAGAAGAGAAAAGAAAAUUAUUUUUUGUUUAUGAGAUGAUAAAGUUGUAAACAAGUAACAUAAACGGGGGUUUCAAAGUAACUUUGAAGACAGCAUGCUAGCAAGACCCAAAGUAAUAUACCUGGGUCAGAUAACCUGACAGAUUUAAAACCAAUGUUGAAAUUCAGAAGCCAUGGCCAGAAUUAAGUGAAUGGAUAAAUACAAGUUGAUGUAAAAGUAAUGACAAUGACUGCAAAGAACUUUGAGAAACAUUUGAGUUGUGAAAAUAAAGUAAAAAUACAAAUAUAAAGAUGUUUAUUUUUAAAAUGCAUAUAAUUUCUGACAAGUUUUAAACUGGGCUAGAGUAAAAUGAUAGUACGAUGAAAUUAUGUUAAAAAUGAAUGAAAAUGCAUUGUUACGAGUCCUGAAUCCCUCAGAGUUCUCUCUCUCUCAUUCAAAGUAAGCUAAAAUGCCGUUAUCUGAGCUUAUGUUUAAGUGAUAAGAUAUUUAUAGUACAGCACAGUGUUUCAGUCAAAUCAUAGGCAGAGAUGCUAAAGGACAUGCUAAAAAGAGUUCAGAUUUAAUGCAUUAAGAGGGCAAUUGGUAGUUAAAUGUUCAACUGCCCAAUGCAUGUAAGAAAUAAGAGAUUAUAAAAAUAAUGAAUAACAAUUUAGGAGCAAUUGUUGAAGAGACAUGAGGUCUUUAAAAUCAUAAUACAGACCCUGAGCUAUAGAUGUAAUAAUUUUGAAUAGUUAAACAAUUGUAUUGCUAUUUGUUCUAUGACCAGUAACUUAUCUGUCUUAUUUUUAGUCUCCACCAUCAUACAGGGCCUGAUGGCUGCAGCUACAGAAGCAACAGAAAAUUACAAUGAAUGGACGGGUGUGAAAAAUAAAUUCACUGAGUAAUCUCAGCAUGAUAGUUUGGAGGUAUCCAAUUGAGUUUAGCGAUUAAAUAUUAGUUUGAUUAACCUUUUUCAAUGUUUUAACACUAGUAGGUGCUGUCAAUGGCUCUCAUGGUUCUUGAGUGCACCUUUCCUAAGCUGCAGGAAAUACUGGAUUCUGGAAGAAGACUGUCGAGGAUGUUGCAACGGGAAAGAGUGGUUACCAGUGUGCAUGAGGUGAUUUCUCAAUGACGGGUAAGAUCCUCUUCUGGCCAAUAGGGGACAACCUAAGGCAGGGGGUCACCGCCACUGGGCACCUGCCCUGAAGGGUGGUGUUAUAUGUGAGAUGGUAGUGGAGUUGAGCGGAUGCUUGAUAGGCCUAGAGCAUCAUUAAGAGGGGAACUGUAUGAAGUACAGCAAUCUGCCUCAAAAUGUGAGCUCCUCCAGACCUGAUCACCAGCAACCGCAUUCCUUGACUGAUUGUUGUGACAAGUGUCCACAACUUGAUGCAACUAUGCCAGUGGAUCACACCCUGAGGACAAGGAGCUUAUUUAUAAAAAGUUAAUGGCAAUGGGCUUUCAAGAACCAUCUGAGACCAUGUGAUGACAGCCAUUAUUUUGAGACAAAAAUUUCUUAUGAGGCUAAAAUGAUAUUGAACUAAUAUGUCUAUAUCAUAGUCUUUACUCAUGCAGGUCAUUAGGCAUGACACAAGAUGAUAACAAGAUAUGGUGGUGGCUAAAAAUGAAGACUGCUUCUGCUUAAUCAAGAGAUGGUUUAGAUAACAAAGGUUAAGGGAAUUAAGCAUGUAAGGUAAAAAUAAUUUUAAAGAAAUGUUCCUAGCAUUAUGUAUUUUAAACAGUUUAAACUGAGAUUUUAGAUCUAGAAACUUUGACAUUUUUAACUUAUUUGAAUAAUUUAGGGUUAUAUGUUGUAAUGAAUUUUAUAUUAUAGUCUAAGUUAAAGUUUGGCAAAAAUUGUCAAAAUAAAUAAAUAAAUAAUAUUUUGCACAGUAAGAGAUAGAGAGAGAGAGUGCUUGAGUGGAGGCAGGGAUAGUGCUCUUCUUCUAUUAUUGGCCUGGUAAGAAAGAGUAACCAAAACAGAGCAAUAAUUUUAAGACCAAAACAACCCAGCUGAUUUUUCUCAAAAUAAAAAUCAUUAAUGAACAGGCAAACUUUGAGAUUAGAUAAGAGAUUAGGUACAAACUUGGUAAAAUGCACAGACAAUGUUUGAGUUUAAAUCCUUCCGAUUUAAUACCAAAAGGAAAACCUUAAAUAUGAGCUGUUAAAAUAUAAAUGUGUUAAGUAUGUGCAUGCAUGAGGAUGGCUAUAUAUAUAUUAUUGGGGGACAAUUCUGUUCCUGUUUUGUUUCAAUUGAGUCACUAACCUCUGGAAUGAGUGUUUUAUCAUUACAGAUGUGUUAAGUGAAAUUACUUUACAGAAGUCGAUAAUUCUGAGUAAAACUAAUGAAAAGACAAUGCCAAACAUGGGACGAGCUUUAAGAGGAUUGGUUAUCCAGCUCCGUCUGCUACUGGUAAUAAUGACUUGUUUUGUCUUUUAUAAUACUGAUUUAAAUCACUCUCUGGAUUAAUAUGUUAAAGAAUGUUUAUAUGAUUGGAUUUGUGAAAUUUAAGUUUGCCGUCCAAAAUGGGUUUAAAAUCCAUGCCUAAAUUUAAAUGAGGGUCUAAAUUUUAACAAGUUAACACUUUGUUGUUUGAAUGGUGAAGGUAAAUAUUUUAGACUUGAUGGCAGAAAAACAGUGACAGAUUGGCUACGUCACUAACCAAAUUAUCCAGAGAGCACCCUCACAUAAAGAAGCCUGGUGGGAAAACAAAGGAGUGAAUCCUGCUUGUGUAAUAUAGUGCAAAAGCUUUAUGUAGUGGUUUAUGUAGAACAGAGAUAAGUUGAACAAAAACGUGUGGAUAGCCCCUUAAUGGAGCAAAUCCAUAACAAGAGGUUUGAAUUAAUUGAAAUAGCACAGCAAAAAAAAAAAAUAAUAAUAAUAAAUUUUGUUUGAACAAAACAAUUGUAAUAUGCUCUAUGGAGCUGCUUAUGAACACCUGUCAGGGCUUUUUGAUAAUGUAUAUUGUUUCAAUACAGAUUUACAGAAACUGAGGAUGUCUCUUUAAUAAAUAUUUGGGCGUUUAGAACUAAGUAAUAGUAUUGUUCAUUUAGUAAUAGUAUUGGGAAAUCUGUGUGCUCUUUUUUAGUUUAUAAUAAUUUAUGAGUAAAUAAAUAUCACAACCAAAUGACAAACAUGAAUGAGGGUUUUAAAGACAUUGAUCACGUAGCUGAUGUGUAAGCAUUUCUAACUGACAAAACAGUGAGAACUAAAUUGACUUAAUACGAGGUACUGAGGAUUUGCUUCUGAAUGUGUCAUUAAUAUAGUCUGAGUACAGUAAUAUGGUAUGAUAAUUGACAAGACUUACAUUUAAAAAAAAAAGGGUAAUAAUAAGGCAAUGAGUAUGGUUAACAGUAAUGUCCUGGUAUAAAAUACAUGCAUGACAAUAAGUGGAUAGGUUAGUUGUAUUUUUGAAGUUAGACACUUCGAUACUUAAAAUGUAAUUUUGAUCAAAUGUUGUUAACAAUGACAAGUUUGGAAUGAAAGGGUAAAAUGGAUAUUCAAUCUCUAUAAUUGUACCAUUGAUCGGGAAAAUGAUAGAUUUUCAUAAAAUAAGGGUAUCUUUACUGGGAUUUAGGUUAUAAGCAAUGUCUGUAUUUGGUAUCUGUGAGGUGACUGAGGGUCUGACAUAUGUCAGGAAUGCAAUAACAGUGGUUAUUCAUUUAGCCCGGCUUCCAGAGAAUAAUAUAUAUAUAUACGUUUAUUGUAAUGAGUUUAUUUUACUAUAUGACCAAAUUAACUAAAAUUCAUCAUAGUUGUAUAAGACAUAUUAAAAGAAAACAAAUAAGACAAAUAUCCUUCUUAAGGGUUACAUUUUUUUUGAAUUGGUUAUAGUGUAUGCGUUUUUCUUUAAUGAUUUGUUAAAUCUGGUUAAUGAAUAUGCAAAUUUAGUCUUAAGGCUGUUGGAUAAAUGUUUGGUUUUAGAGGGUAAGUGUGAAGUAGCUGUAGUAGGAAGAGAGGUAUUUACAAAGAUAUGUUGAUGAAAGUGAGGACACUUUUCCAGGUAGAGGGACACACAGAAUGAUUCACUGGAAAAGACAUUAUGUGAAGAAAGACUAGUGCAAGUGCCGAUAUUGUGGGAUUAAGUAAGUAGAUUAAUGUAUAUGGGAAAUAAGAAUGUAUAUGGGAAGUAUUUUGUACAAAAUAAUGUGUUUAUUACUAGAAAUGUCAGCCAGUACCAGAGAUUUUAAGUAUGCACAUGUUUAAGUUGACCAACAGUCUGCAUUCUUAGCAUGCAUCACAACGACACCUGACCUCAUUUAUUAGACCAGAUGUGGGGUAUUAGACCCCACAUUGAUCUAAAACGGGGGACUGAAGGAGUGGAUGCCGAGUUGCCAUAUCCUUCAUACCAGAGAUGGGACCAAGUCCCCAUGUCUGCUUCAUACUGAUAUUAUAUUAUAUUAUUACAUGAUUUCUUGUUUGACUAUUAAUCAAGUUAUAGCAAGAGUGAAAUGUGUAACCUUAUGUGUGCUGUAUUUCUUUUCCUCAAGAUUAAUGUCCACAUAUUAUGUGUGUGUAUCCAACCGUAAUGAUAAGACACUUGCCAGUGCUAGAAAGCCUUGAAUUUUAGAUAAGUUCUCUGUGUAUGUGUUUUAGUAUCUGUCUGUACAGGGAGAAGCUCAGACAGUCCCAGGACAAACGAUCAACUGCCAGUGUCCAGCGUAUCAGAUCUACGUCUUUGGAGAGUUUUAUCUAGGUUUUGGAACCAAUCAGAAUUUUGUUGACUCAUGUAUUGACGCAAUUAGUAUCCUCUGUCAGGGUAUAACUGUGGUUGAUUUUGUAUUGUACUGGGGGCGGCCUGCGAACUCCUUCGAGAGUGUUGAAGCUGACUUCUGCUGAUGAAAUUGCAAACUAUUUUCUUCAAGUAAAAUUAUUAUUAUUAAUUGAACUCA